GACGAACGCUGGCGGCGUGCUUAACACAUGCAAGUCGAACGGAAAGGCCCUGCUUUUGUGGGGUGCUCGAGUGGCGAACGGGUGAGUAACACGUGAGUAACCUGCCCUUGACUUUGGGAUAACUUCAGGAAACUGGGGCUAAUACCGGAUAGGAGCUCCUGCUGGAUGGUGGGGGUUGGAAAGUUUCGGCGGUUGGGGAUGGACUGGCGGCUUAUCAGCUUGUUGGUGGGGUAGUGGCUUACCAAGGCUUUGACGGGUAGCCGGCCUGAGAGGGUGACCGGCCACAUUGGGACUGAGAUACGGCCCAGACUCCUACGUUAGGCAGCAGUGGGGAAUAUUGCACAAUGGGCGGAAGCCUGAUGCAGCAACGCCGCGUGCGGGAUGACGUCCUUCGGGGUGUAAACCGCUUUCGCCUGUGACGAAGCGUGAGUGACGGUAAUGGGUAAAGAAGCACCGGCUAACUACGUG
This 468-nucleotide ribosomal RNA is filed under the name uncultured bacterium. Its description in RNAcentral is "partial 16S ribosomal RNA". It matches the Rfam family "Bacterial small subunit ribosomal RNA", at positions 28 to 507 of the family's 1533-position model. The record is from RNAcentral.